AGGAGAAUUUUGUUACCAUCUUUAUUCUUUACGGAUAAAUACAAAAUAAGCUUAUUUGUUAUUCAUAAUGAUUUACAAAAGUCAAAGAAAAAACAAGCCUGGAACAAUUGUAAACCACACCGAUAUAAAAGCAAUAAUCAGAAUAGCUCCAUGUCAAGGCUGUUUAUAGACUUGGGCUUGCUCUUUUUCUUCACUAGCAUAUAAUGGGCUUCGUUUUCAGGCCUUCAAAGCUUUUCUUGCUUUGCGAGCACCGACAAAACGGCUCCCUGUUUCAGAGCUCGUGUCAAUCAAAUUAUGUCUCGUACUUCCUUCACCAUAAUUUAAUGCAUAAAACACAGGACGAAGCAAAGGCAGAAUAUUUCCUUCUUGCGCCGGACAACCCCAUAUGGAACACAAUGUUCUUUCUCCAAUCUAUUGGGGCCACCAUCCAAUAAUUUUACUCCCUUUGAACCUGAUUGCUUCCUUGCCUUCAUCUUUUUUACUCUGCCUUUUGGACUCGAUAACAUGUUUGAAUACUCCUUUUCCGAUAGUUCAAAUAUAGCUCUAAAAAGUAGCCUAAAGCUCCUUUCUUGUGUAAUAAUAACCCAAUACUCCAUGACAAGGUCCCAAUGGUACGCCCUUCAGGAGCAGAGGCUGUGAUGAGGUGAUUAUCACCUCCCAUUUGAAACACAAGCAUGUUGUUGGCCAAACUUGAAAAUCAAAUGCCACAAAUAUAGAAAAGGAGAAAGAGGAACCAAGAGAUCCAAGACAAGGGAAUUGGGGUAGGCAAACCAUUUGCUUUUAGGAAAGUCGGUGCCUUGAUCAUGCUCUCAUCUAAUGGAAGUCCAUAAGGAUUAUAUAUAUGCUUAUGUUGCACUGAGUAGGCUUCUCUUUGUCACGUUGUUCCAUAAUACCUCUCAUCGAACUCUUAUGACAUCACAGGCCACGU
Molecule: long non-coding RNA, 928 nt
Filed under: Gossypium barbadense (sea-island cotton)
Lineage: Eukaryota; Viridiplantae; Streptophyta; Magnoliopsida; Malvales; Malvaceae
Description: long non-coding RNA (GBAR_LNC003905)
Source: RNAcentral